AGCAGCCGCGGUAAUUCCAGCUCCAAUAGCGUAUAUUAAAGUUGUUGCAGUUAAAAAGCUCGUAGUUGAAUUUCGGAAUCGAUGGAUCGGUCACGCCAUUCGGUGUGUACUGGUUUAAUUGGUUCUCACCUUCUAAGGAACCGUGAUGUCAUUAAUUUGGUGUCGCGGGGAAUUAGGACUGUUACCUUGAAAAAAUUAGAGUGUUUAAAGCAAGCUCACGCUUGAAUACAUUAGCAUGGAAUAAUGAAAUAGGACAUUGUAUUCUAUUUUGUUGGUUUCUAGGAUCGAUGUAAUGAUUAAUAGGGAUAGUUGGGGGCAUUAGUAUUCAAUUGUCAGAGGUGAAAUUCUUGGAUUUAUUGAAGACUAACUACUGCGAAAGCAUUUGCCAAGGAUGUUUUCAUUAAUCAAGAACGAAAGUUAGGGGAUCGAAGACGAUCAGAUACCGUCGUA
RNAcentral lists this ribosomal RNA (450 nucleotides) under uncultured Glomeromycotina. Its description in RNAcentral is "SSU rRNA". It matches the Rfam family "Eukaryotic small subunit ribosomal RNA", at positions 569 to 1022 of the family's 1831-position model. Lineage: Eukaryota; Fungi; Glomeromycota. The record is from RNAcentral.